RNAcentral lists this ribosomal RNA (419 nucleotides) under bacterium. RNAcentral's name for it is "partial 16S ribosomal RNA". It matches the Rfam family "Bacterial small subunit ribosomal RNA", at positions 355 to 776 of the family's 1533-position model. The record is from RNAcentral.
UGGGGGAUAUUGCACAAUGGGCGAAAGCCUGAUGCAGCGACGCCGCGUGGGGGAUGAAGGCCUUCGGGUUGUAAACUUCUUUUGCUCUGAACAAGGCAUGCUAAUGGGUGUGUUGAGUGUAGGGGUUGAUUAGCGCCGGCUAACUACGUGCCAGCAGCCGCGGUAAUACGUAGGGCGCGAGCGUUGUCCGGAAUUAUUGGGCGUAAAGGGCUGGUAGGUGGCUGGUUGCGUCUGUCGUGAAAGCUCAUGGCUUAACUGUGGGUUUGCGGUGGGUACGGGCUGGCUUGAGUGCAGUAGGGGAGGCUGGAAUUCCUGGUGUAGCGGUGGAAUGCGCAGAUAUCAGGGGGAAUACCGGUGGCGAAGGCGGGUCUCUGGGCUGUUACUGACACUGAGGAGCGAAAGCAUGGGGAGCGAACAGG